UACGUAGGGGGCUAGCGUUGUCCGGAAUCAUUGGGCGUAAAGAGCGUGUAGGCGGCCCGGUAAGUCCGCUGUAAAAGUCAAAGGCUCAACCUUUGAAUGUCAGUGGAUACUGCCGGGCUAGAGUCCGGAAGAGGCGAGUGGAACUCCUGGUGUAGCGGUGGAAUGCGCAGAUAUCAGGAAGAACACCGGUGGCGAAGGCGGGUCUCUGGGCCGUAACUGACGCUGAGGAGCGAAAGCGUGGGGAGCGAACAGG
Molecule: ribosomal RNA, 253 nt
Filed under: uncultured bacterium
Lineage: Bacteria
Description: partial 16S ribosomal RNA
Rfam family: Bacterial small subunit ribosomal RNA
Source: RNAcentral